UACGAAGGGGGCUAGCGUUGUUCGGAAUUACUGGGCGUAAAGCGUGCGCAGGCGGCUUCUCAAGUCAGGGGUGAAAGCCCAGAGCUCAACUCUGGAAUUGCCUUUGAGACUGAGUGGCUUGAGUACGAGAGAGGUGAGUGGAAUUCCCAGUGUAGAGAUGAAAUUCGUAGAUAUUGGGAAGAACACCGGUGGCGAAGGCGGCUCACUGGCUCGUAACUGACGCUCAUGCACGACAGCGUGGGGAUCAAACAGG
This 253-nucleotide ribosomal RNA is filed under the name uncultured bacterium. RNAcentral describes it as "partial 16S ribosomal RNA". It matches the Rfam family "Bacterial small subunit ribosomal RNA", at positions 524 to 776 of the family's 1533-position model. The record is from RNAcentral.